RNAcentral lists this unclassified non-coding RNA (277 nucleotides) under Hevea brasiliensis (rubber tree). Lineage: Eukaryota; Viridiplantae; Streptophyta; Magnoliopsida; Malpighiales; Euphorbiaceae. The record is from RNAcentral.
CAGCUGUGUCCUUGUGAUGCUUGACAAAUAUAGCAAGAGUAAAUGGUCCUGAAGACUGUCAUUUACUAGCUUAUCAAAGGCUGAUGGCGAAAGUUUAGGAAGGGAGGCAACAGUUUCAGAUAUAAACCGCCCUAUGCUACUAUCUGAUGCAACAUGCCCUUCCACGACAUCGUCAACAUAUUUGUGCACAUCAUCCAUUAGGGCUAGUAGACGCUGCAUUGAGGCUUCCAUUCCUUCCAAAUCACUCGGGAUUUUGUCAACCAUUGGUGUCUUAAGG